This 203-nucleotide long non-coding RNA is filed under the name Elaeis guineensis (African oil palm). RNAcentral's name for it is "long non-coding RNA (EGUI_LNC079890)". Lineage: Eukaryota; Viridiplantae; Streptophyta; Magnoliopsida; Arecales; Arecaceae. The record is from RNAcentral.
UCCAGACAAAUUUCGACAAUGGAAGGGCUCCACCGGUCGGAUGUCUACUCCGAACUUCUACUGCAAGUGAUCUACUCUGGAUCUCUACUGUAAGCGAAUUCUAUCUGAGUUUCUACUGUAAAUGAAUUCCUUCCGAGCACCUAUUACAGGCGGACUUCAGUCGAGCUUCUUCAAUAGGCGGUCCCCAUCCGGACUUCUACAAG